AACUCCAGGGAGACUGCCGGUGAUAAACCGGAGGAAGGUGGGGACGACGUCAAGUCAUCAUGGCCCUUACGAGUAGGGCUACACACGUGCUACAAUGGCGCAUACAGAGGGCGGCCAACUUGCGAGAGUGAGCGAAUCCCAAAAAGUGCGUCGUAGUCCGGAUUGGAGUCUGCAACUCGACUCCAUGAAGUCGGAAUCGCUAGUAAUCGUGGAUCAGAAUGCCACGGUGAAUACGUUCCCGGGCCUUGUACACACCGCCCGUCACACCAUGGGAGUGGGCUGCAAAAGAAGUAGGUAGUUUAACCUUCGGGGGGACGCUUACCACUUUGUGGUUCAUGACUGGGGUGAAGUCGUAACAAGGUAGCGCUAGGGGAACCUGGCGCUGGAUCACCUCCUUA
This 398-nucleotide ribosomal RNA is filed under the name Vibrio alginolyticus. RNAcentral describes it as "bacterial SSU rRNA". It matches the Rfam family "Bacterial small subunit ribosomal RNA", at positions 1136 to 1533 of the family's 1533-position model. The record is from RNAcentral. Lineage: Bacteria; Pseudomonadati; Pseudomonadota; Gammaproteobacteria; Vibrionales; Vibrionaceae.